GUUUAAUGGGGUGUGUUUAAUUUUCUGUAUUUUGCAUAGUUGUUUCCAUUUUUGGAAUUAAUGUUUGUGAAAAAUGCAAUCUUUGGUCUGAUCAUGAAUUCAUAACUAUUUUGUUCCUAUUUGUUAUAAAAUAUGCAUAUAUUGUGAUUUUUAUGUUCUAACUGUCUUUUGAUAAGGCAUUUUAGCUUUUUUUGAGUGAAGUUUCCUCUUUUGACGUUUGGAAUGUGUGUUAAAGGCUUGUUUGGAUUGACUUUUUUGUUGACUUAAUUAGGCAAUUGUGAAAAUGUUUGAGAGAAGUUAUGAAAAGAACUUAUGACAUGUCCAUAAGUUAUUUUAAGUUUGUUUCUAUAAGCUCUUUAUGAUAGCUUAUAGCUUCUAUAGAAAAAGUUUACUUUAUUUUAUCUUUGUUAUAGAUAAGCACUUAAAUGUUAAGCCGUUGAUUAAGUUGUUUAUUCAAACAUGGCAAAAGUUGAAUUUGGGAUUUCUUACAUGAGGUUUGUGCUUUAAAAAAUCCUAUAAUAAGGGAACAUUAGUAUAGGUUCUGAUUAUAGAUAUCUUUGGUGUAAAAGAUGGAGUUAUGAAUCAUCCAUCUCAUAGAAAAUGAGCCAAUUGACCAAUUAACUUGAGCAAUAUGUUUUUUCUUUGUUUGCAUUCUUUGAUCAUUACUUAUUGCUUGCUGUUUUUUUGGUUUAAUUUUUUCAGAUGCGUAUGAUCCACUUGACCCGAAUGGGAAUAUCACAAUAAAAUGGGAUGUUAUUCAAUGGGCACCAGAUGGUUAUAUGCUAAGGUGGCUUGGGAAGGUGGACUUGAGUAUGUGGAGAUCCAAAAUUUAACCGAAUUUUAUGAUGACAACAGAGCACAAUUGGCAGGCUUGCUUACGAACUAUGCUCCAAACCUUUUGGAUACUAGGGGUAGACUUCUUCCUCGGUCAUAUGACGUGCUUGGUCUCUAUACAACAUUUAUAGUUCAAAAGCCUGACCCAGACAUAACACCACCAAUGGCAACUCCAAUAUUGCAAGAUGCUAGUUAUAAUCUUGACGAGGUAAUUAAUUCGAUGUAGUGCUACUUUUAUAAGAAUUUAUAUUUUGAUCAGUUUUGGUUUUGCUUUCCUAGAAUCAAGAAUGUAUCAGGUGCCUGUUUCUUUUUAACAUUUCCCUUAACAAGUGAUAUCAUAUGACAUGCCUUUUAAACAUUCUAGUCAUUCACAUUGCGGGCGGCACUCUCUAUAUUGUUUAAUUGUAAAUAAAUUAGUAAAUCUUCAAAUAUAUUGACGAGUCAUUUAAAAGUCUGAAGUCUGAACUCAGGAGUGAUAAGUUUUGACAAUUAGAUCAAAAUAGUGGAGAAGUUUUUUUGAAGUGGUAUAUAAUAAGGUAAAAAGGCUAUUAUCGAAAUCAUCAAUUUAAAGUGGUUAACUUGAGGUUCCACUUCCACCCUUUUUCGUGUAACUAGCUUUCUUCAGGGAAAAUCAUUGACCCUUAAGACCAAAUGAUAUUCGUUAUGUGAAUUUUGGGAUGAUAUAUUAACAAUGUCAUCCAUAUUCGGGUUGAGACCCUUUCAGCUUUUGCAGGUGUGUUAGUAUACUUUCAGGUCCAUUGUAUUGUAGUAUGUACCUGGGGCUGGUCCUGUCUGAUAGUUUCACUGGUAAGGCACCAGUGGUUGCAGUCGGAGAGGCCUGUGUACAUUGGUCCUAGGCUGAUUGUGUUUGGUGGUGCCACACUUCCCCUGCACUUGGAGGCAAAUUAUGUUGGAAAUAUGCUCAAACUUGAAUGUAGUGACUAACGUCUUCUCAUAUGUUUGCAUAUGGAGCUAUCCGACUCAAUGCAACAGCUAAGAUUUCGAGUUCUUGGGGACCAGGACAAAUCAUUCAGGCUAGUUUCAUUUUGAGAGAGACCAAUGUGUAAGGCAUGCUACCUUUCAAUGAAUGGUUGAAGAGAAGAAGAAAAUAAAAGAAAACCAAUAGAACCAGUUGGAACAAUAGAAACGCGAACAUUGUCACCAGUAGCAUCAACUGCAAUGGCAAUGUACAGUCUCAAAAUGGCCAUUUCGGAGCUGAAAGAAGACUCUCCAUUUUGUACUUCAUCUGGUAUAGUGAGAGUGGAGGUUCCUAUUGAGGAGCAAGUUGAAGCCAUUGAUUGGCUUCUUUCGCAAGGCCACCUUCUGCUUCCGAGAUGCUACUUCUCUGGUAGGGAACAAAAAUCUGUCCCUGGAAAUUUGGUUAGCAUUGCUGGUGUCGGUUCUGCUGUUUGCUUUUCUCAGCCACAACCCUUUCCUAUUGGGAUUGGAUGUCUAUAAGGAGGUUACUCAUCUUGGUUUGUUGAAAAUUUUAAACUUUGAAGUUAGUUUUUUCUUAUAAUUUGGGCUCAACCCUUAAACCGACCAAUAAGGUGAAAAAUGUUUCCCACUUAUAAAAACACAUUUUCAGGUCGUCUCUCAUAAGUGCAUUCACCAAGCUAUUAUUGUUGAUUAAGGCACCAUAUGCACAUUUUAAGUGGGAAUCAUUCACCAAGCUUUAUUUAAGGUACAUAACAUAAUAGUUAGAAAAAUCAUUCAGGCUAGUUUGAUUUUGAGAGGUACUAUUUGUUGAGGGUAAUUCAUUGUAACCAAUGUUGGUUACUUGUAACACAAGUAAAAGAGUUAGUUAGGUGAUUUUAUGUGAUGAGUUGUGUGUUUGUUAGUUUUUCUGUUAUGUUAGUUACUUGAUCUUAGGGAGUUAGUUAGUUUGUUAGUAACUUAACCUGUAAGCAACACAUCAUAAAUAGUGGUGUAAAGUGACAUUGUGAUAUAGUGAGAUCAAUAACAAUAACUUCUUUCUCUCUUAAUUCUCUCUCAAUUAUGUGUGUAUGUUCUUGCUUUAAUUAAGUUCCAACACUAUUGUGCAAUAUGUCACUAACAUUAAAUGGUAAUCCGGCAAUGCUCAUGACCAGUGUCACCUUACUAUGGUCAGUAAAAAAGUGAAAAAGAUUAAGGCACUUAUGCAGUUGAUAAAUAGCUUGACCAAGGUAUGCAGAUGUUAACACAACUUCUCAAAGUAUGCAUAGGAAGUAGAAGGAUUCAGAACAGAUUACAGGGGGGGCACACUAUUAGUUACAUAUUGUUUCUCUGGUUGCUCGCUUACUCCAAAGCCAUUUCAUAGUACACUUGAAACAACAAAGGCAAUAAAAAACUUAGUUUUACAGGUUUGUUUCUGAGCGAUGCCCUUUAAUUUGUGCAUAUGGUGCUAUCUGAUUCAAUGCAAAAGCCAAGGUGUCAUCAGUAUGGCUGGCUUUUGGUUCUUUCUACUUCAUGAUUCCUCAGGUUGAAUUUAAUGAGCUUGAAGGAGGAUCAAUGCUUACCACUACUAUUGCUUGGGAUAAUGCUCUUUAUUGGUCAUGGGAAAUUGCAAUGAGUGCACUUCAAGAAACACUUUACAAAGUGAGUGUAAAUAGAGAUUUAAGUGAGUGUCUUAUAGAUUAUUGUUGAAAUAAUUGAGAUACUCUUUACAAUGUCUCUAUCCUAGUUUACAUUGAGUACUUUUAUUGUUCUAAUUAUAUUACCAUA
This is an RNA transcript of Trifolium pratense (red clover), 3537 nucleotides long. It is a transcript of the gene named mRNA cap guanine-N7 methyltransferase 2-like, with no coding region annotated. The record is from RefSeq and is a predicted model, not a curated record. Lineage: Eukaryota; Viridiplantae; Streptophyta; Magnoliopsida; Fabales; Fabaceae. The transcript is spliced from 8 exons.